RNAcentral lists this ribosomal RNA (256 nucleotides) under uncultured bacterium. RNAcentral describes it as "partial 16S ribosomal RNA". It matches the Rfam family "Bacterial small subunit ribosomal RNA", at positions 524 to 776 of the family's 1533-position model. The record is from RNAcentral.
CACGUAGGGGGCAAGCGUUUGUCCGGAUUUAUUGGGCGUAAAGAGCUCGUAGGCGGCUUAGUAAGUCGGGUGUGAAACCUCCAGGCUCAACCUGGAGACGCCACCCGAUACUGCUGUGGCUAGAGUCCGGUAGGGGGAGCGUGGAAUUCCUGGUGUAGCGGUGAAAUGCGCAGAUAUCAGGAGGAACACCAGCGGCGAAGGCGGCGCUCUGGGCCGGUACUGACGCUGAGGAGCGAAAGCGUGGGGAGCAAACAGG